Molecule: ribosomal RNA, 910 nt
Filed under: uncultured Bacteroidota bacterium
Lineage: Bacteria; Pseudomonadati; Bacteroidota
Description: bacterial SSU rRNA
Rfam family: Bacterial small subunit ribosomal RNA
Source: RNAcentral
AUUAUGGCUCAGGAUGAACGCUAGCUACAGGCUUAACACAUGCAAGUCGAGGGGAAACGAUAUUGGAAGCUUGCUUCCGAUAGGCGUCGACCGGCGCACGGGUGAGUAACGCGUAUCCAACCUGCCCAUCACUUGGGGAUAACCUUGCGAAAGUAAGACUAAUACCCAAUGACGUCUCUAGAAGACAUCUGAAAGAGAUUAAAGAUUUAUCGGUGAUGGAUGGGGAUGCGUCUGAUUAGCUUGUUGGCGGGGUAACGGCCCACCAAGGCAACGAUCAGUAGGGGUUCUGAGAGGAAGGUCCCCCACAUUGGAACUGAGACACGGUCCAAACUCCUACGGGAGGCAGCAGUGAGGAAUAUUGGUCAAUGGACGAGAGUCUGAACCAGCCAAGUAGCGUGCAGGAUGACGGCCCUAUGGGUUGUAAACUGCUUUUAUAAGGGAAUAAAGUGAGUCUCGUGAGACUUUUUGCAUGUACCUUAUGAAUAAGGACCGGCUAAUUCCGUGCCAGCAGCCGCGGUAAUACGGAAGGUCCGGGCGUUAUCCGGAUUUAUUGGGUUUAAAGGGAGCGUAGGCCGGAGAUUAAGCGUGUUGUGAAAUGUAGACGCUCAACGUCUGCACUGCAGCGCGAACUGGUUUCCUUGAGUACGCACAAAGUGGGCGGAAUUCGUGGUGUAGCGGUGAAAUGCUUAGAUAUCACGAAGAACUCCGAUUGCGAAGGCAGCUCACUGGAGCGCAACUGACGCUGAAGCUCGAAAGUGCGGGUAUCGAACAGGAUUAGAUACCCUGGUAGUCCGCACGGUAAACGAUGGAUGCCCGCUGUUGGUCUGAAUAGGUCAGCGGCCAAGCGAAAGCAUUAGGCAUCCCACCUGGGGAGUACGCCGGCAACGGUGCAACUCAAAUGAAUUGACGG